This 253-nucleotide ribosomal RNA is filed under the name uncultured bacterium. RNAcentral describes it as "partial 16S ribosomal RNA". It matches the Rfam family "Bacterial small subunit ribosomal RNA", at positions 524 to 776 of the family's 1533-position model. The record is from RNAcentral.
UACGUAGGGGGCUAGCGUUGUCCGGAUUUCUUGGGCGUAAAGAGCGUGUAGGCGGCCAGGUAGGUCUGCUGUGAAAACUCGAGGCUCAACCUCGAGACGUCGGCGGAAACCAUCUGGCUAGAGUCCGGAAGAGGAGAGUGGAAUUCCUGGUGUAGCGGUGAAAUGCGCAGAUAUCAGGAAGAACACCCGUGGCGAAGGCGGCUCUCUGGGACGGUACUGACGCUGAGACGCGAAAGCGUGGGGAGCGAACAGG